AGCGGCUGCUGGGUGUUUGGUCUUUUUCUAUCUUGUUAGUUAUAAUUUGCCCCAGCUGCCUAUGCAUGCAGUUAUUUUUAGUGCUUUAUAGUUUCUUUAUAUUCUGCUGCUGGAGGAGACGUUUGUCCAGUCCUGCAAGCACUGCAGCCAAGGAUCCCAGGUCCCGGGCCCCAGCCUGUCUCACCUUCACACCGUCGUAAGGUCGAAAAAUCGAGGCCUAAAUAGCAUAUUUCUAUCUACUGUAUAUAUUGCCCAGGACAUAGUUUGGAUUAUUGCUGAAGUCACAAAGCAUCGCGGUGUUUGAGUUCAGAAUGUUUCCUGUGCUUUUAUCCUCCCUGAAGUACAUCAAACAGAAAUGAUAAAGAAAGACUCUCCAGCAUCGCUCAAAGCUGCUGGAAUAUCGACUAAGAAAUUUUGGGCUACUAAAGAUGGCUUCCCCAGUUUUGGAAAAGAAAAAGUAAUUUGGGAUAAGUCAAGAUAAGCAUCUAGCCUUGGUAGAAAUCUACACGAACCAAAAUACCAACUUCUAGGAACCUUACACUUUGAGAAUCAUACCAUCUUAGCCAGCAGAUUCCUACUUGUUGAAUACAGCUCGGUGAAGAAGCAACCAUUAUGUCUGUGAGAACUGAGAAAAGAAAGUUUCAUAAAUUUAAAGUGAUUGGUCAGGGUGGAGUAUAAACUAUCUAAAAGAGAAAGUGAAAUUUAAAAAAGUCUGCACCCUCCUA
Molecule: long non-coding RNA, 725 nt
Organism: Mesoplodon densirostris (Blainville's beaked whale)
Lineage: Eukaryota; Metazoa; Chordata; Mammalia; Artiodactyla; Ziphiidae
Exons: 3
Source: RefSeq, a predicted model, not a curated record